RNAcentral lists this long non-coding RNA (2627 nucleotides) under Mizuhopecten yessoensis (Yesso scallop). RNAcentral's name for it is "uncharacterized LOC110460611". The record is from RNAcentral. Lineage: Eukaryota; Metazoa; Mollusca; Bivalvia; Pectinida; Pectinidae.
AUCCAGGCCAUAGCAUUGUUAAACAACAUGUCCGCUAGGAUGCUGCUCUUGCUGACGUUCGUGGGAUGCUGCAUGGCAGCUUUACUUGAUGAACAAGAUGUUGACACUAGAACCGUUGACUCCCUUCUCACCUACCUUGACCACGAGAUGACCUCUGACCUCUCCGACGAUGAAUUUAUGCAUUACAUAGUGACGAACGCUACCAUUAGCAACGAGACAUACCAUGUCAUCGAGGAGUCGGCUGGCUGAUCGGACAUUUUCGAUUGUCCACGUUCGGGAGUACCAACUUCUCCUGCCGGAUCUCCACAAAAAGGCUACUAUAUUUCAGCUGGCCUUCUACGUAAACAAUGCAGAUACAUAAAGGAGUUGAUGUCAUGUUACGUGCAGUACGAUUAUACAGACUGUCCGUACGUGACUGGAAUGAUAAAACAGUUAACCCCAGUGUACCGGUACAUGUGUAGGGAACCCGGCAGGACUGAGAUCCUGAAUUUUCUGCCAUGCGCCAACAACUAUGAUAUCCAGGUUAAGAUGUUUGAGACUUACAUCAAGUUCGUGUCCGCUAUUUGGAUAAUAGUCAACUGGCCAGACCCCGUAGAGGACGCGUAUAACACUAUGAUAUGCAGAGCGUUUUUUGAGUUCAAAAGUGAAACAGAUGAAUCCAUUGGGGAGCAUUGUAGUGCAGAGGACGUGACCACGUUUGGAGAGUUUUAUUCAGCCAUGACGUCGAAGAUGUUGUCAAAACAUUCAUGCGAUGAGGAUCAUUUGAAUCACUAAGUUAUUAAUCAAAUUGAUGAGCAACAACUUCCUCUAGUGUUCAAAACAAAGAAAGUCGUGGAAAAUGAUUUGGUGAGGCAGCGUGAGCGUAGCCGUACCUUCCUCCUGACUUGCCGUAACAAACUAGGGAUGAAUCCGUCAACACCGCACCGACAGACGGAUUUUGUAUGAACUUGUUUACAUAUAUUCAUGACUUCUAAGUCACUAUUUAUGGUCUAACGGAGACGCCGCAUGUCUUCGAAAGUCUAGCGCAGCAUGCGAUAGAUUUACGGAGCGAGAAAACAAGUAACUGGAACAUAUAUUAGAAGUAUCUUGUGUACUCUCGUGGCGUUAUUUAGACAAAGCUGAAGGUCGUUUGUAAAAAAUGUGCCCUUGUAGAAUCUAAAUUUAUAGGUUGACAUUUGGUUAGACAGUUCUCGUGAAAAUUGUGACGUCAUCAUCUGGUGACCAUAUGGUGGUCAUACAUUUUAAUAGAAAAUAAGGUCUCUAGAUGCAUCGUAAGCCGAUCGCAUGUUGACAUUUGCGACAGAUUAGAUUGCUGACAUUUUGUAUGUCAACUAGGUAACAGCCGUAGUUACAUUUACUGUGAUAAAAAGUAAAACAAAUCGGGAUAUUUCUCAUAAACUGUAACGGUAUACUUUUUUUGUUAAAUGUGCGUAGUCGUAAUGUAGGUAUAUUGAAUGUAUUCCGUUCAAUCUUAUAUCAGAUUAUUUCCCGAUUUACCAAUGUUAAGUUCAUACCUCAGUGGGCAAAGUAAAUAUAAUAACGGGAUUGGUUUAUUUCCGGAUUUUCCGUAUUAGUAACUCGGCGGUACGGCCAUGCCUUUGAUAUUUCUCCAAUGUUUAUUUGAUUCUGUGAGAGCUGACAUUAUGACAUUAACCAGAAACUUCUGUAUCACCCACACUCGAUGGAUAUUCUGAGGAAAUGAGUUUUUAUGUACAAAAUAAAUUACAGAUUCUGAAAUCAUUAAAUAGAAAACUGCAUACGAAUUGUCAUUGCAGGACAAAUUCAUUCCAGAUCGAGCUUUUCCAGUCAUUUUUUCUCUUCAAUUUUAUUGACGGUCUGUGUUCAACCAAGUGCCAUGCUGCUCUUUCGAAAACGCAUACUUAAUCUGACAAGGAAAACGUUAUAAAACGAAUUACUUAAAUGGAAUUGAUUAAAUGGCAAACAGGCGUUUAAAUUGUUGCGACGUUACAAAUUAUACACUGCAUUGGACAGCCACGGGUCUACAUGUCAUCUGGUGACAGAAAACACAUGACUACUUUACAAUUGUCGUAAAAAUUAUUGUAGGAAUAUUCUGUUGCCCGUAAAAUAUAACGACUGAUUGGUCAGGUUUUCGGAGUCGAGCUAAUUUUAUCAAUAACAAGUAAAACUCAAUUUAAGUGGCGACGUGCAUUACAGAUAGCCUGGGUCCUGAAGACAUAAAAACAUUUUUUACGAAUGAAACCGGGACAGAAAAGCACAAGACGAACUAUGAAAGGGAGUAACCGGUAGAGUUAAGGACUUCCCACCCUUCGUAAAACACAUUCCAGUUUUUCUUGUCGUAUUUUCGUGUCGUCAUUUCCGUAUUGCAUAUCGGGCAUUCCAUUACCGUAGUGUAAAUUAUAGUAUUACCGGGUAAACAAAAGUACACGUGAGUGACGAUGAUAUGUCAACACCCGAUAAUCACACGUACUUCUAAAAUAAAGCUUAUGAUAGAAAGACAUAAAUUAACUCACAGGAAGACACUGACAUAAGAUCAGACGACUUUUAGAAGGUCGUAUUUGAGGCGCAUGGGAUGCAGACUGAUGUGUUUUGUUUACCAACCUCACCUGUACAUUGUACGUAUCACGUGCUAACAGUAGUUCACAAGC